Molecule: ribosomal RNA, 253 nt
Filed under: uncultured bacterium
Lineage: Bacteria
Description: partial 16S ribosomal RNA
Rfam family: Bacterial small subunit ribosomal RNA
Source: RNAcentral
GACGAACCGUCCGAACGUUAUUCGGAAUCACUGAGCUUAAAGGGUGCGUAGGCGGCGCGGAAAGUUGGGUGUGAAAUCCCUCGGCUCAACCGAGGAACUGCGCCCAAAACUACCGUGCUCGAGGGAGAUAGAGGCGAGCGGAACUUAGGGUGGAGCGGUGAAAUGCGUUGAUAUCCUAAGGAACACCGGUGGCGAAAGCGGCUCACUGGAUCUCUUCUGACGCUGAGGCACGAAAGCUAGGGUAGCGAACGGG